Ipomoea nil (Japanese morning glory) is the source of this 85-nucleotide long non-coding RNA. RefSeq lists it as uncharacterized. The transcript has 3 exons. NCBI's taxonomy places the organism in Eukaryota, Viridiplantae, Streptophyta, Magnoliopsida, Solanales, Convolvulaceae. The record is from RefSeq and is a predicted model, not a curated record.
GGGGGCGGUGGGUAAAGGAAGCUUAAUAAUGUUGAAGGAAUACCCAUUCUUCUUCUUACCCCUUUCUCUCUCCGUAUAUAUAUAU